RNAcentral lists this ribosomal RNA (425 nucleotides) under uncultured bacterium. Its description in RNAcentral is "partial 16S ribosomal RNA". It matches the Rfam family "Bacterial small subunit ribosomal RNA", at positions 354 to 796 of the family's 1533-position model. The record is from RNAcentral.
GUGGGGAAUAUUGGACAAUGGGCGCAAGCCUGAUCCAGCCAUGCCGCGUGAGUGAUGAAGGCCUUAGGGUUGUAAAGCUCUUUCAGUGGGGACGAUAAUGACGGUACCCACAGAAGAAGCCCCGGCUAACUUCGUGCCAGCAGCCGCGGUAAUACGAAGGGGGCUAGCGUUGUUCGGAUUUACUGGGCGUAAAGCGCACGUAGGCGGAUCGUUAAGUCGGGGGUGAAAUCCUGGAGCUCAACUCCAGAACUGCCUUCGAUACUGGCGAUCUUGAGUCCGGAAGAGGUGAGUGGAACUCCUAGUGUAGAGGUGGAAUUCGUAGAUAUUAGGAAGAACACCAGUGGCGAAGGCGGCUCACUGGUCCGGUACUGACGCUGAGGUGCGAAAGCGUGGGGAUCAAACAGGAUUAGAUACCCCAGUAGUCC